Zea mays is the source of this 1031-nucleotide long non-coding RNA. RefSeq lists it as uncharacterized. Lineage: Eukaryota; Viridiplantae; Streptophyta; Magnoliopsida; Poales; Poaceae. The record is from RefSeq and is marked validated. The transcript has 2 exons.
CUUAUCUCCUGUGCGCUCACUCAACUGGAUGAGUCUCCUGCGUACCGGUCUUUGAUUUUUCUCUGGAAUGUGCUUGAGCUUGUACAGGCUGUGGCCUUAUCCAUCGCUCGAUUCAUCUCCCUGUCUUUAUCUUCUCCAAGCCGUGGAGCUUCUUCCCCAGCGCGCCCCUCUCCCUGGCUCUUCCCUGCGCGCCGCGGUGCUCCAGCUUGGCCCUGCUCAACUCGCCUCUACACAGCGUUCCUCUGCUCGGCCCUUUUUCCCCUGCACGCGAGCUCUGCGUCUUCCUGCGCGCCGGCUCCUGCUGAGCCGUGCGCCCUGGUGGCUAUCGCGACUGAUCUGUGGCCGCCACCUUCAGCUCGCCGGCAUUUCUUCUCUGCGCGCAGCUCACGCCCUGCUAGCCCCUGCUGCGGGUUGUCGAGCUCUCUGCGCAUGCUCAGCUCACUCUUUCUUUGUUUGCCGCGCGCACGAAUUUUAUCUGCUUGCCACAGCGUGUCGAGCUCCCGCACUAUCAUCGCUUCUAUCGCAAGCUCGUUAGCCACAGUUAUCUUGACCGCGUCAGCUCGCCAGACCUGCAACUCUAUAUACGCCACCCUUCCGUAUCAUUGUCGAGCCCGUCGAACCUCGUUCUUCUCUGCUCGCUCUCGUCGAACUCCAAAUCCCGGAUAUUAGAUAAAAAUAAGCGAGGCCCCUGUGUAUCGCUUAUCAAGUACUCGGUUGAAGACAUCAAUCGAAGAUCGUCGUCGUUUGGUGUGUCGUCAAGAAAUCCCAAGACGAAGCUAGCAGCGCGAUAUUUCCCAAGCACUCGACAAAUUGCUUGGAUCAGAAAAUCGCUACCGAUCUCGCGGAUUCGUGUCAGCUGUGGAAACGGUACGUUAAAUAAUCGCGCGAUGCGGAAGACAAGCCAAGUCGACCCCAAGCGCGGGCAAAUCCGCAGGAUAAUGCUGAUGGAUGAACCUACCCGAUCCAGUGCUAGGACAAGGAUGAUCGCCAAGUGGACGUCGUCUAACAACACUAACCUAGUGUUACUCAGG